GAUGAACGCUGGCGGCGUGCCUAAUACAUGCAAGUCGAGCGAACAGACGAGGAGCUUGCUCCUCUGACGUUAGCGGCGGACGGGUGAGUAACACGUGGAUAACCUACCUAUAAGACUGGGAUAACUUCGGGAAACCGGAGCUAAUACCGGAUAAUAUAUUGAACCGCAUGGUUCAAUAGUGAAAGACGGUUUUGCUGUCACUUAUAGCUGGAUCCGCGCCGCAUUAGCUAGUUGGUAAGGUAACGGCUUACCAAGGCAACGAUGCGUAGCCGACCUGAGAGGGGGAUCGCCGACACUGGAACUGAGACACGGACCAGACGCCUACGGGAGGCAGCAGUAGGGAAUCGGCCGCAAUGGGCGAAAGCCUGACGGAGCAACGCCGCGUGAGUGAUGAAGGUCUUCGGAUCGUAAAACUCGGUUAUUAGGGAAGAACAAAUGCGUAAGUAACUAUGCACGUCUUGACGGUACCUAAUCAGAAAGCCACGGCUAACUACGUG
RNAcentral lists this ribosomal RNA (497 nucleotides) under uncultured bacterium. Its description in RNAcentral is "partial 16S ribosomal RNA". It matches the Rfam family "Bacterial small subunit ribosomal RNA", at positions 28 to 507 of the family's 1533-position model. The record is from RNAcentral.